UUAAGUUAUUAAGGGCGCACGGUGGAUGCCUUGGCACUAGAAGCCGAUGAAGGACGUUACUAACGACGAUAUGCUUUGGGGAGCUGUAAGUAAGCUUUGAUCCAGAGAUUUCCGAAUGGGGAAACCCAGCAUGAGUUAUGUCAUGUUAUCGAUAUGUGAAUACAUAGCAUAUCAGAAGGCACACCCGGAGAACUGAAACAUCUUAGUACCCGGAGGAAGAGAAAGAAAAUUCGAUUCCCUUAGUAGCGGCGAGCGAAACGGGAAGAGCCCAAACCAACAAGCUUGCUUGUUGGGGUUGUAGGACACUCUGUACGGAGUUACAAAGGACAACAUUAGACGAAUCAUCUGGAAAGAUGAAUCAAAGAAGGUAAUAAUCCUGUAGUCGAAAAUGUUGUCUCUCUUGAGUGGAUCCUGAGUACGACGGAGCACGUGAAAUUCCGUCGGAAUCUGGGAGGACCAUCUCCUAAGGCUAAAUACUCUCUAGUGACCGAUAGUGAACCAGUACCGUGAGGGAAAGGUGAAAAGCACCCCGGAAGGGGAGUGAAAUAGAACCUGAAACCGUGUGCUUACAAGUAGUCAGAGCCCGUUAAUGGGUGAUGGCGUGCCUUUUGUAGAAUGAACCGGCGAGUUACGAUUUGAUGCAAGGUUAAGCAGUAAAUGUGGAGCCGUAGCGAAAGCGAGUCUGAAUAGGGCGUUUAGUAUUUGGUCGUAGACCCGAAACCAGGUGAUCUACCCUUGGUCAGGUUGAAGUUCAGGUAACACUGAAUGGAGGACCGAACCGACUUACGUUGAAAAGUGAGCGGAUGAACUGAGGGUAGCGGAGAAAUUCCAAUCGAACCUGGAGAUAGCUGGUUCUCUCCGAAAUAGCUUUAGGGCUAGCCUCAAGUGAUGAUUAUUGGAGGUAGAGCACUGUUUGGACGAGGGGCCCCUCUCGGGUUACCGAAUUCAGACAAACUCCGAAUGCCAAUUAAUUUAACUUGGGAGUCAGAACAUGGGUGAUAAGGUCCGUGUUCGAAAGGGAAACAGCCCAGACCACCAGCUAAGGUCCCAAAAUAUAUGUUAAGUGGAAAAGGAUGUGGCGUUGCCCAGACAACUAGGAUGUUGGCUUAGAAGCAGCCAUCAUUUAAAGAGUGCGUAAUAGCUCACUAGUCGAGUGACACUGCGCCGAAAAUGUACCGGGGCUAAACAUAUUACCGAAGCUGUGGAUUGUCCUUUGGACAAUGGUAGGAGAGCGUUCUAAGGGCGUUGAAGCAUGAUCGUAAGGACAUGUGGAGCGCUUAGAAGUGAGAAUGCCGGUGUGAGUAGCGAAAGACGGGUGAGAAUCCCGUCCACCGAUUGACUAAGGUUUCCAGAGGAAGGCUCGUCCGCUCUGGGUUAGUCGGGUCCUAAGCUGAGGCCGACAGGCGUAGGCGAUGGAUAACAGGUUGAUAUUCCUGUACCACCUAUAAUCGUUUUAAUCGAUGGGGGGACGCAGUAGGAUAGGCGAAGCGUGCGAUUGGAUUGCACGUCUAAGCAGUAAGGCUGAGUAUUAGGCAAAUCCGGUACUCGUUAAGGCUGAGCUGUGAUGGGGAGAAGACAUUGNGUCUUCGAGUCGUUGAUUUCACACUGCCGAGAAAAGCCUCUAGAUAGAAAAUAGGUGCCCGUACCGCAAACCGACACAGGUAGUCAAGAUGAGAAUUCUAAGGUGAGCGAGCGAACUCUCGUUAAGGAACUCGGCAAAAUGACCCCGUAACUUCGGGAGAAGGGGUGCUCUUUAGGGUUAACGCCCAGAAGAGCCGCAGUGAAUAGGCCCAAGCGACUGUUUAUCAAAAACACAGGUCUCUGCUAAACCGUAAGGUGAUGUAUAGGGGCUGACGCCUGCCCGGUGCUGGAAGGUUAAGAGGAGUGGUUAGCUUCUGCGAAGCUACGAAUCGAAGCCCCAGUAAACGGCGGCCGUAACUAUAACGGUCCUAAGGUAGCGAAAUUCCUUGUCGGGUAAGUUCCGACCCGCACGAAAGGCGUAACGAUUUGGGCACUGUCUCAACGAGAGACUCGGUGAAAUCAUAGUACCUGUGAAGAUGCAGGUUACCCGCGACAGGACGGAAAGACCCCGUGGAGCUUUACUGUAGCCUGAUAUUGAAAUUCGGCACAGCUUGUACAGGAUAGGUAGGAGCCUUUGAAACGUGAGCGCUAGCUUACGUGGAGGCGCUGGUGGGAUACUACCCUAGCUGUGUUGGCUUUCUAACCCGCACCACUUAUCGUGGUGGGAGACAGUGUCANGCGGGCAGUUUGACUGGGGCGGUCGCCUCCUAAAAGGUAACGGAGGCGCUCAAAGGUUCCCUCAGAAUGGUUGGAAAUCAUUCAUAGAGUGUAAAGGCAUAAGGGAGCUUGACUGCGAGACCUACAAGUCGAGCAGGGUCGAAAGACGGACUUAGUGAUCCGGUGGUUCCGCAUGGAAGGGCCAUCGCUCAACGGAUAAAAGCUACCCCGGGGAUAACAGGCUUAUCUCCCCCAAGAGUUCACAUCGACGGGGAGGUUUGGCACCUCGAUGUCGGCUCAUCGCAUCCUGGGGCUGUAGUCGGUCCCAAGGGUUGGGCUGUUCGCCCAUUAAAGCGGUACGCGAGCUGGGUUCAGAACGUCGUGAGACAGUUCGGUCCCUAUCCGUCGUGGGCGUAGGAAAUUUGAGAGGAGCUGUCCUUAGUACGAGAGGACCGGGAUGGACAUACCUCUGGUGUACCAGUUGUCGUGCCAACGGCAUAGCUGGGUAGCUAUGUGUGGACGGGAUAAGUGCUGAAAGCAUCUAAGCAUGAAGCCCCCCUCAAGAUGAGAUUUCCCAACUUCGGUUAUAAGAUCCCUCAAAGAUGAUGAGGUUAAUAGGUUCGAGGUGGAAGCAUGGUGACAUGUGGAGCUGACGAAUACUAAUCGAUCGAAGACUUAAUCAA
RNAcentral lists this ribosomal RNA (2921 nucleotides) under Staphylococcus aureus. RNAcentral describes it as "23S ribosomal RNA". It matches the Rfam family "Bacterial large subunit ribosomal RNA". Lineage: Bacteria; Bacillati; Bacillota; Bacilli; Caryophanales; Staphylococcaceae. The record is from RNAcentral.